AAUAUUGGACAAUGGGGGCAUCCCUGAUCCAGCCAUGCCGCGUGUGUGAAGAAGGUCUUCGGAUUGUAAAGCACUUUAAGUUGGGAGGAAGGGCUUUAGGUUAAUACCCUGAAGAUUUGACGUGACCAACAGAACAAGCACCGGCUAAACCGGUCCCAACAGCCGCGGUAAUGCAGAGGGUGCAAGCGUUAAUCGGAAUUACUGGGCGUAAAGCGCGCGUAGGUGGUUCAGUAAGAUGGGUGUGAAAUCCCCGGGCUUAACCUGGGAACUGCUUUCAUAACUGCUGAGCUAGAGUACGGUAGAGGGUAGUGGAAUUUCCUGUGUAGCGGUGAAAUGCGUAGAUAUAGGAAGGAACACCAGUGGCGAAGGCGACUACCUGGACUGAUACUGACACUGAGGUGCGAAAGCGUGGGGAGCAAACA
This 422-nucleotide ribosomal RNA is filed under the name uncultured bacterium. RNAcentral describes it as "partial 16S ribosomal RNA". It matches the Rfam family "Bacterial small subunit ribosomal RNA", at positions 360 to 774 of the family's 1533-position model. The record is from RNAcentral.